Molecule: ribosomal RNA, 926 nt
Filed under: uncultured Bacilli bacterium
Lineage: Bacteria; Bacillati; Bacillota; Bacilli
Description: SSU rRNA
Rfam family: Bacterial small subunit ribosomal RNA
Source: RNAcentral
AGAGUCUGUUCCUGGCUCAGGACGAACGCUGGCGGCGUGCCUAAUACAUGCAAGUCGAGCGAAUCUUUGGGAGCUUGCUCCCAUUGGUUAGCGGCGGACGGGUGAGUAACACGUGGGCAACCUGCCUGUAAGACUGGGAUAACACCGGGAAACCGGUGCUAAUACCGGAUAAUCCUUUCCUUCACAUGAGGGAAAGCUGAAAGUCGGUUUCGGCUGACACUUACAGAUGGGCCCGCGGCGCAUUAGCUAGUUGGUGAGGUAACGGCUCACCAAGGCGACGAUGCGUAGCCGACCUGAGAGGGUGAUCGGCCACACUGGGACUGAGACACGGCCCAGACUCCUACGGGAGGCAGCAGUAGGGAAUCUUCCGCAAUGGACGAAAGUCUGACGGAGCAACGCCGCGUGAGCGAUGAAGGCUUUCGGGUCGUAAAGCUCUGUUGUUAGGGAAGAACAAGUACCGGAGUAACUGCCGGUACCUUGACGGUACCUAACCAGAAAGCCACGGCUAACUACGUGCCAGCAGCCGCGGUAAUACGUAGGUGGCAAGCGUUGUCCGGAAUUAUUGGGCGUAAAGCGCGCGCAGGCGGUCCUUUAAGUCUGAUGUGAAAGCCCACGGCUCAACCGUGGAGGGUCAUUGGAAACUGGGGGACUUGAGUGCAGAAGAGGAAAGCGGAAUUCCACGUGUAGCGGUGAAAUGCGUAGAGAUGUGGAGGAACACCAGUGGCGAAGUCGGCUUUCUGGUCUGUAACUGACGCUGAGGCGCGAAAGCGUGGGGAGCAAACAGGAUUAGAUACCCUGGUAGUCCACGCCGUAAACGAUGAGUGCUAAGUGUUAGAGGGUUUCCGCCCUUUAGUGCUGCAGCUAACGCAUUAAGCACUCCGCCUGGGGAGUACGGCCGCAAGGCUGAAACUUAAAGGAAUUGACGG